This 587-nucleotide ribosomal RNA is filed under the name uncultured bacterium. RNAcentral describes it as "partial 16S ribosomal RNA". It matches the Rfam family "Bacterial small subunit ribosomal RNA", at positions 355 to 937 of the family's 1533-position model. The record is from RNAcentral.
UGGGGAAUCUUCCGCAAUGGACGAAAGUCUGACGGAGCAACGCCGCGUGUAUGAUGAAGGUCUUCGGAUUGUAAAGUACUGUCAUUGGGGAAGAACGGUUUUCUUGAAAAGAUUGAGGAGACAUGACGGUACCCAAGGAGGAAGCCCCGGCUAACUACGUGCCAGCAGCCGCGGUAAUACGUAGGGGGCAAGCGUUGUCCGGAAUUAUUGGGCGUAAGGGCGCGUAGGCGGGCCUUUAAGUCCGGUGUGAAAGAUCAGGGCUCAACCCUGAGAGUGCAUCGGAAACUGGAGGCCUUGAGGACAGGAGAGGAAAGUGGAAUUCCACGUGUAGCGGUGAAAUGCGUAGAUAUGUGGAGGAACACCAGUGGCGAAGGCGACUUUCUGGACUGUAACUGACGCUGAGGCGCGAAAGCGUGGGGAGCAAACAGGAUUAGAUACCCUGGUAGUCCACGCCGUAAACGAUGAGUGCUAGGUGUAGAGGGUAUCGACCCCUUCUGUGCCGCAGUUAACACAAUAAGCACUCCCGCCUGGGGAGUACGGCCGCAAGGUUGAAACUCAAAUGAAUUGACGGGGUCAUAGCUGUUUCC